This 360-nucleotide ribosomal RNA is filed under the name Rhodospirillaceae bacterium. RNAcentral describes it as "bacterial LSU rRNA". It matches the Rfam family "Bacterial large subunit ribosomal RNA", at positions 2551 to 2925 of the family's 2925-position model. Lineage: Bacteria; Pseudomonadati; Pseudomonadota; Alphaproteobacteria; Rhodospirillales; Rhodospirillaceae. The record is from RNAcentral.
GGCUGGAGCAGGUCCCAAGGGUUCGGCUGUUCGCCGAUUAAAGUGGUACGUGAGCUGGGUUUAGAACGUCGUGAGACAGUUCGGUCCCUAUCUACCGUGGGUGUUGGAAACUUGUGAGGCGCUGUCCCUAGUACGAGAGGACCGGGAUGGACGCUCCUCUGGUGGACCGGUUGUCGCGCCAGCGGCAUAGCCGGGUAGCUAAGAGCGGACGGGAUAAUCGCUGAAAGCAUCUAAGCGAGAAGCCCUCCUCGAAACCAGGUUUCCCUUGAGAGCCGUGGAAGACGACCACGUUGAUAGGCCGGGUGUGGAAGCGCAGUAAUGUGUGAAGCUAACCGGUCCUAAUAGCUCGAUCAGACUUGA